CACUGGAUGCAGCGGUUCAUCGAUCUCUUCCUGAAUCGUUGUUUAACAUCAGAACCAUGAAUCGAUCGAUAAACCUCUGCAUCCAGC
Glycine soja is the source of this 87-nucleotide non-coding RNA. Lineage: Eukaryota; Viridiplantae; Streptophyta; Magnoliopsida; Fabales; Fabaceae. The record is from Rfam.